GCUUUUCUCCUGCCUGUAGUUCUCAGUUUGCUAGCUAGUUUCUGGACUUCCAGGAUUGGCGGGGGCAGGUAGGGAGUUUGGGACAAGGGAAUUAGCAAGGUGGGUUUCCCACUCUCCAAGCCUGGCCAGUGUUUGAUGUGAACCCUUUCCCUUGUUGGGUGUUGUGGUGGGUUCUUCAGAGACCCCCACUAUUGGCCAUCCCUCCUGCAAUUCUCGGGGCAUGUGAAGAUAUAUCUUUAUUCUAGGAGGUCCCUCUGGAUUUCUUUCUAAGACCCUAGCAAUCCAAUGCCCACUUCCAGCUUUUUGCUGCUGGCGUCUCUCUGCCUCUCUAGGUGGUCCUAUGAGACAGCACCCAAGUUGACCACAUGCCAGCUCUCUCUUCUGAGUGACCACAAUUGGUCCACAGGACACACUCUACCCAAGAAACCCCACACAACCAGAUCAGUCCCCCGUGCCCCUCCACCCCACUGUCACAGCCCACUGUCAGUGUCAAAAGCACAAAGCUGGGACCCAUCAUGUGUUGUUUCCUGACUGUAUUUCAGGACACUCCGGGCGGUCCACAUAAGCCUGCUUCACUGGGCUUGAGAUGAAGGAGAUGCACCGGUAGCCCUUCUUUCCUUGGGGUGUUAAGGGGACACUCACAGCUCAUUAACAGCUCUUUACAAAAAAAAAAAAAACCUCUUUACCUAUGUUUCCCCGCCACAUCGCCCUCCAACCCCUUUUCAUAUCCUUGAGCUGAGUGAGGCAUCCAAGAAUGAAGCAGCCAGGUCUCGAAAUGUCCUUUGUGAAUUCUGGAUAAGGGGGCUUGUUCCACAUUCACGCGGGUAUCUGAUAUCUCUCAUACUGGUGCCUUAGCUAAAGCAGAGGCAGAAAGAAUCCCAUCCUAGUAUCUUAUUCCAUAAACAAUAGAGAAAAAGGUAAAAGUGUGCAUUUCAGUUGUCUAGUGCUGCUUAGCACCCUGAAACUGAGUGGUUGAAGACACCACUGGUGUAUCAUUUCUCGUGCUUCUGUGGGUCGGCUGGGUCACUCGUCCGCUGGUUUCACCGGGGCCUGCUUCUGCAGCUGCACCGAGCUGGAGGGUCAGCCAUCGCUCCCGUGGCUGGCAUUUAGUGCUGACUGGUGGCAGGGUGCCUCGGGCCAUGUUCUUAUGGCUUCUCAUUAUCUGGUAGGCCAAACAAGCUUCCUUUCAUGGUGAUCUGGGCAACAUUUCAAGAGACCUGAGCAGAAGCUCUAAGGCCUCUGGAGGCCUCGGCUCUGGAAAUCACACAGCAUCACUAUCAUACACUUUCUUGGCCAAAGCAAAACCACAAGACCAGCCUAAACUCAAUAGGUGGGAAGAAAAGACUCUGCCAUUAGCAUUUACAGUCUUUGGCUCUCCCUGGUUCACUCACUACAGGGCUUUCUGUCUCGGCCAGCUCGAGCAGAUGUGGGGUGGAGGGAUUAAAAUGAGUCUCUGUUGGUUUGAUGGGCUUCUAUUUGAAAGGAUGGAAAGGAAGGGAAAAGAUCCAGAAGGUAAGAGCCAGGGGAAGAAAGCAGAGCCAACUGAGGGGUGCUUUGGGGAAGCAUUCCAGGGGGAUGGACCACAGGCUGGGAACCAGGAGCCAUUGGUGUAGAGAACAGGCCAGGCUGGUUUUUCCAUUCAUGACGGUAGAGGCAGUCAAUAUCUCUGUGUGAAUUGGGGGGGGGGGGGGUGAGAUCUUCUGGAACUUAAUGUGAAAACGGACUUUACUGUAGAUUGGAUUCCUCCUCUCCCACCUGCCCUCUUGGACACAUUUUCCACCCCCCCAUCCUUCCUCUCCUCUGAUAUGUUCAUAGGGAAGGUGAGUCCCAGGAGAGGUGCGGGGUACUGGCGAACAGCCCUGUCCUCAGGUGUGAGGCUUCAGGAAGAGGUGAAUGGGAGAAGCUAGGAGACCCAGGCGAUUGGCUGCCCUAUUGCUGUGCUGCGGGCUGCAGAUUCGAUGCUCAGAAUUUUCAUUUUUUAAAACCAUUUCUAAAGCCUUGAAAUGUCAUUGUGUUAUGUGUGUUUAUCUAGAGUCUAAAUGGAAAGGGCCUGUGUUUCCCAUCAGAUGCCCCUGGAGGAAGGGAACAGAGGCUGAUGACAUUGGAAGGGCAGGUCACUUUGCCGAGAAGCGAAGUGCUUGGGGCUGGUUUUCAGCUACAGAGGAGCACCUGAUACAGCAUUGAACAAUUGCUGGGUAUAUUUGACAAAUCGGGAACCGAGUUCAUUAGGGAGUUGGGGAACUUAAAAUCAGGCUGCUUGCAGGAAAAUGUAUGAAGGGAUUAUGCCGUGCAGCCACCAGUAAUUAAAGCACCAGGAACCCGGGCUGAAUGGACGAUCUUCCGCCUGAAUGGAACCUGCAUGGACUGAGAAAAACUUUCUUGAGUCACAGUGACUUAGGAGGGAAAUCGUUUGUGAUAAACAGAAUGGAUGGAAAAAAAUGAACAUCCAGAAUCUCUAGGGAACGAAACCAAAUCCACAAGGGCAAUACUAUUUCUACUGCAUUCGUGGUCAAAGAAAAUCUGAGCAUGUCCUUCACACAAGAGGCAAUAGAAAUAGAAAACAAAUCUGUGGAAAAGAAUUCAUCCUCCCUAGUAAUUAUAGGAACUUAAAGCACAAAGUCACGCAAUGCCAGUUAAACUGGUAAAAGCAAAUUAUGAUUACAAAAUCAAAAUCUGGCAAGGCUUUUGAGAAAGCUGUAUUCUCCUAGUAACAUAAAUUAAUACAAUAUUUCUGGAAAGCAACAUGGCAAAGUGUAAUGAGCCAUGAAAUAUCACAUCUUUGGGCCUAGUAAACAUAUGCUUGAGACCGUAUUCUGAAUAAAUAACUCAAAAAAAGAAAAAUCAUGGGGCAGAUAAGAGACAAAAAGAAAAAAAUGGAAAAAAUACCAAAAAAUGAUGAAAUAAAAGCAUAUUAUGAUAUAUAAUGAAAUAUAGUAUUACUAUUAAGAAUGUUACAUUUGUGUAUGAUGAAAGGAAUAGAAAUGUUGAUAUAAAAUAAUGCUAAGUGAAAAAUAGUUAAGCCCAAAUUUUGUGAAUAUUGACUAUAAGUAUGU
Molecule: long non-coding RNA, 3053 nt
Organism: Leopardus geoffroyi (Geoffroy's cat)
Lineage: Eukaryota; Metazoa; Chordata; Mammalia; Carnivora; Felidae
Exons: 2
Source: RefSeq, a predicted model, not a curated record